AUUCAGCUAAACAAAAGGAGGAAAACAUAAUUCUUUAAAGGGAAUUGAAAGCUGAAGAUGUGAAACAGAUGAGCCAUAAGCACAUUUCGAUUUAUCUUUUCCCCUCUUAUGAGUGUAUACACACAUAACCCUGUGAGUUUUCUAGCCAAAAAAACAUACUGGUCAGAGAAUCCUAAUGCUCUGUUUAUCUUUUACCUUUUUUUUUUUAUACAAAAGAAUAAACAAAUGAAGAUAUUUCAUUAUCGAAGGUGAGAAAACACAAUUAACAGGAUAAUAUAAACUCCAUCCAUGCUCACCCUCAAAGGCCUCAUCUUCUAUGCCAAGGGCUCCUAUACAAGAUACUAGCCAAUUCUGGUGCUUGAAGAUAGAAACAGGUUACAUAUAUGCUGCUGAUUCAUGAGAGGAAUUUUGCCUUCACCUGUCUUGCCUGAAUAUUAUUAUGUCCCUUUGUCUGAAGCGCGAAAGACAUAGCUCGAAGCCUAUUUGUUAUCUCUGUAAAUGAUGGUCGAGAUUCAGGUUCAGGUGACCAGCACUGUUCCAUCAGCGUCCUCCACUCAGGAUCACAACAUUCCGGAAUAGGAGGCCGAAGAGUGUUUUUAACAAUGCCACCGAUGAUAGCACCACAAUGCAUAUCUGCAUAAGGUUCCUCCCCAGUCAAGAUCUCCCAUAGAGAAAUGCCAAAUGAGAAAACAUCAACCUUCUCAGAAACCCGACUGCUGCUCCCAUUCAACAAUUCUGGUGCCAUCCAUGGAAGGGUACCUCGCACGCCACCAGAUACAAGAGUAUUCCGUUUGAUUCUUGAUAGACCAAAAUCUCCAACCUUGCAGAUGGGUCUUUGUGGAUCCCUUAAAUUGACAAGCAAAUUGUCACAUUUCAGAUCAAAGUGGACUAUAUUUUUCGAGUGCAAGUAUUCCAUUCCAAAAGCUGCAUCCAUUGCAAUUAUAAGUUUUUUGCGGCGAUCAAGUGAUCUAUCCUUCUUAAGUAGGACAUGCCUAAGUGAUCCAUUGACCAUAUAUUCAGUCACAGUGGCUAAGGUUCCUCCAGCCCCAUCUGGAACUACCCCAUAAAAUGCAACCACAUUUGGAUGAUGAAGAUUUGAGAGGAUCUGUGCUUCUCUCCAAAAGUCUUUUGUCAAACGUUCUUGCUCUGAUGACCUCCCCGAAAAGCAGCUCUUUUUAAUUCUUUUUAUGGCAACAUCUGUUCCACGCCAUUUUCCAUGGUAGACAGUGCCAUAUGUGCCAGAUCCUAACUCUCUUAGUUCUUCGAGAUCAGCAUUCUUUAUAAUCUGCAAGCCAUAGAUGCUAGCUUCCAUUUCAGCUAUCACUGCAUCCGUAAUAGAUUUAUCCUUAUCUCCACUAUCAUCCUUUAUGUCCUCAAACUCAGUUUCUGGCAUGAUACUUUCAGAUAUUGUAGCAGAAGGAGAUAUAAAAUCAGAGCUGGUUGGAUCAGCAACAUAUGGGCGAACAUGUGGGAUGAUACUCUCUGAAUCUGUUGCUUUAGGAGGCAUAAGGUCACUGCUGGUUGGAUCAGUAACGGGCAUAGAAAGAUGUGGCAUAAUGCUUUCUACCCCAACUGCCGAAGAAGAACCAAAAUCACUGUUGACUGAGUCAGCAUCGUGUGGGACAACUGCACCAGAAGAUUGAAUGGUACAAGGCACAUUACCAGUCAAAGAUUCCACAGUAAAUAAUGGCUCCAGCUUAUUUUGAUCUUUAUUUUUACUUGAUGUUUUUGUUUGUGCUGACAUAAUAUUCCCAACAUUUGACUUCUCAUAAGCAGAUCCACCAAGACCCAACUUCUCAGCCUUCUGAUCAGGGUAACUUCCAUGGUCCUCGACAAGGUGAGAAACCUCUCUCUCAUAUGAAGCAUCGUUAGUGCAAUUAACUGCUGCAGCAUGAAUUUCAUUCACAUGCAAGGUUGUAUUUGCACCAGAGUCAUCAUGAACAACAGAUUGGUAUGAUUUUGUAGAGCUUAUGAGCAAGGAAUCUUUGUUAUCCUUACCAUUUUGACUUUCAAGGGGUUGAACUGGUGCUGAUUCAUGGGAAAAUGAAUCUUUAGAUGAUCCAGAGGUAAGAUCAACCAAACAACUUUCACCACGAGGGUGCAUCUUGGCAUUUUUAAAUAACUCCUCAACUUCUGGAAUGCUGUUCCUUGGGAUGUUGCUUCCUUGUUCACCAUUCACUUUUCCAUGCAAACUGCUGUUUUGGUCGCUUGCAGUCCUCUGGUCCAUCAAUAGGAGAUCAGAAGGGGUUUGAUAGUUCUGGGAGUGCUCCAAGAAGUUGUCUACAGAAGGUUUGAAAUCAAUGGCUGAGGAUGCAGAGAGCCCAUCCUCAGAAAUGUUCAUAUUGUGUCCCAAUACAUCAAUUUCAGAUCUUGAGUUACAGUUGACAUGAGGUGAUUUGUUCUUGUAUUUCAUACCUGCGACUGAUAAUUUCUUGUCACAAGGUCUUUCAGCUUGGUAACAAAAUGGAUUAAUUUUUUCAACUGCAUUCAUCAUUUCUGAAUUCAAUUCCACGCGACCCUUUGGAAUUUGGCAUUGAUCAUCAGCAAUGGUAGUAGCUUUCUGAAUGGGUUCAUUCCUUCCUGCUGAUUUUGAGCAUGAAGAAAAAUUCAGCAAAUCCAACAUAUCCUGUGAGAAAGUAGACUCAAUGUCCAGUAACUUACUUUGUAGGGAAGGAUUGACAAAAUUAAAAUUCUUGCGCAGCUGCUCAGGCUUUUCUUGUGAAGAACUUGAGACCAUUGAAGAUAAUUGUGUCUUGGAAAAGUUCAACGGAGAUGAUGGGCUCAUCCCCUCUUGUGAACAGUAAGCAGACCGCAUCCCAUGCUCUUGUAGCUUUGAAUCUGAAAAGGCAUGUGGCAUUCCAUGAUGAGAAUCAAUGGAGUCUACAGACGCUGACAACAGACCCAAAGGAUCAUCUGGGCCCAAGAAAGGCUUCUCAGAGUGGAUUGCCCUUUCCUUGUGCAUAGGCCUCCCCCCAGAGAAACCAUCAAAAUUGACUUCACUCUGAUGAAAAACUGAAGGGGUCAGAUGUUCUGUGCCAAGAUUAUGGCUGUGGGAUUGCACUCCAUGUGGUUGGUCUGCCUGAAGAUUAUCAACAUUUUUGCAAUGAUUCAUCAAAGCUACCAGCCCUUGAGUGGGUUGUUUGCAAACAGUAGAUGUGCUGCAGUUAUCAGGUGGCAGCUGAGCAGUAAUGAAGGAACUACAGCUCUCAACACUGGAGUUAGCACCAUUAGAUUUUACGUGAGAAUUCCUAGAGUCUCGGUGCUGUAUAGGAAUUGGAGAAAUAGGAGGAGACCGAUAGGGAGGUUUGGUCAUAUAGUGGAAUUCAUUGGAAAAUCUAGGAGGAUGAAAUGCAUUAAAACCUGCUUUAGCCUCCAAAGGAAAAAGAGGAGAUGGAGAAUGUUUACGAAAGCUUGGAUGGUGAUCUGAAAUAUUUCCAGGUUGACUUGCUUCACUCGCUGAACCCUGCCCACUGGAGUUUUCCCUAGGACUAGGAUCUAAUACGCCAUUUACAGCAAGAACAUAGUGGUAGUUGGGGCUGUCCUGCUGGAUGGCAGCUCCAUCAAAAGAAGAUGACUUUUCAGAUUCACCCAGAGGAAUCAAAAAUAUUCGAAGCCUUUGAGAACCCUCUAGCUUUUCAAGUCCAUGGUAUUCCUCUAUCAUAUUUUGAAGAUCUUCAUCAGAAGACACAGAUAUAAGAGCAUCAAGAUCCUCACCUGGAAGCUGAUACUUGAUGGAGUGAGGUUGGUUGCAAAUACCUUUAGUUUUCUUGACAAGUUCAUACCAUGUAAGAUUCUUAGAAAUGGAAAUAAUGCGGGUCUCUCCUCCCACAUAUCUUAGCUUUCCAUCACUGGGCCUUGGCAAAAUCUUACCCCCAGAACUGCAAAGGAACUUCAUCUUUCCAGGUUGAGAUAUAUCUGAAGAAGGGGAUUCUAGCGCAUGAAAGACUGAAGCAGAUGGACCCAAACCAGCACCCCUAUCACAAUUCAAUUUACUGAGAACCUUCCCUGAUCUAUUUACAGUAUCGCCAUCUUCCAUUUUCAGUCUGUUUAACUUGUCAGCAUAUGCCCCACUUUCAGUUUCCAUUGAAGACUCUUUUGCAGACACAAAAUCAGAAAUAUCAUCAGCAGACUCAGAAUCCAUUCUAUUUAACCCAAGUAUAUGAGCAAGAUCCUCAUAUCCCCGCUGAUGAAUUUGAUCAUUAAAAUGACCAAAUCUGCUUUCACAAUUUUGAGCUGUACUGGGCAAAGGGCAAAUCCCUCUGGUGGUCACUCGAUCCUGGAGAAACUCCAUGGAAAAUUCUUCACCUGUCUGCAUGGAUAUAUUAUGUACAUUUUUUCCUGACUUGGGAAUAAAAGAUGCCAGUUCCUGUUGUUGUUGAAUCCUUCUACUGGAGGGACUAGGCGCCUCACUGGUCAUUGAAUCAGACAAGUUCUUGGACUUAUUUAGCUGCACAAUAGCAUUGCAUGUCUCUUUGAUGCAGUAUAUCCUCUCCAACAAGCAAAUGAAUAACACAGAGAUAACCAGCUCCUUAUCUCCACGAAAUGGACUCAAAUCCAACUUUUACACACCAUUUAAUAGGAUCCAACUUUCACAAUAACAAAUAUACUUUCACACAAUAUAUGACCAUUAACACUCCAUGUACACAAUUUAUAACUUCACAAUCAAACCAAUGUAGAUAAAAUGCCCGCAACCCUCUCACUUCAUUCUCAAUCAAACCUAGCACAUUUAUACACAUUAAAAAAAAGAAAAAAAAUCUCUAUUUUCAAAAUUCACUCUACAAUGGACAACCGGAACUUAAAAAACCCAAAUGAAGAAAUUAAGCUAUAUACAUCCAUACCCGUUCAAUCACCACUCUCCUUAUUUCCACCCACGAAGGCCACAUUCAGAAUCGCAAAUCCCACAGAUCCAAAAGGCAAAAUUGCUUUUACGAGAAUCAAUAAACACCAAUCCACCCUAUACCGUACGAUCUCCUGAUUCUUAAUUUCUGUAUCUAUCGCUCUCUAUGUAUUAACAGUGGAUGUAAUGAGCCUCAGAGCUGCCAUUGCUGGAACUGCAUGGGAAGUAAUGGAUUGGCAGGAUCGAAACAGAAGAAGGGAGAGGACAUGGAAUCCGAAAUUUUGUUGAAAGGGGCAAGGGAAAGAAUAGAGGAGAAGAGAAAAGAGCGAGGCUUACGCCUGGAGGAGGAUCAACAUCCCUCGGGUAUGGGGAUUGAGAGGAGAGCGACAUUGCCGAGAAAUCAGCGGCAUCGACACUAGAGAAAUUAAAAA
RNAcentral lists this unclassified non-coding RNA (5268 nucleotides) under Hevea brasiliensis (rubber tree). The record is from RNAcentral. Lineage: Eukaryota; Viridiplantae; Streptophyta; Magnoliopsida; Malpighiales; Euphorbiaceae.